AUAUAAUUAAAGUAUUCUUUUGUUUUUGUUGGUUAAGCAAAUCCGCCUACAACUAAUGUUUGGUUGCCAUAGAAACGAAACUUCCAUUCCUUUAGUCUGUCUCGCGUAGACCAGUAGAGUAGAAAAAUGAUAAAACUUUGUAAAAUUCUUGGCUAUGCCUAACGGCAAGUAUUCCCAGCACACACUGAUGUAAGGAUGCGAGCUAACUAAUGGUUGUCUCGUUUCCAUGGCAAUUUCUUACAUGGUUUUUCCACAUUUUACCAUGUGCUUCAAUUUGGCCUAAAACUCGAUGCAAUUGUGCUAUUUGACAAUAGGGGGCAUUUUUAUUUGAAAAGGGUGGUCGGAUUUUUUUGGAACAUACUGUACUUCUGGCCUAUGAAAGUAUGAAUUCUCUCAGAACACUCUGAAGUGUUCAACAGUGAAGUAUGGUACGUCCGUCAGAAAAUUGCAUAAAUCAUAUGGUGAAAACCCGAAUUCUAAUGGAUGAACGCCGUGGGGGUGAUUUAAAGGUAUUGGCUUUUCAACCUUACCUGGAAUGAAGGGGGUUAUUACUUUAGGUUGUCCUCCAUGAUGGAGAGCUCUUGGUCUUGGAUAAUCAUUAGUUUUCCUUAAAUGCUGUAGUUUUCAACUGAUGUUUGGUCUGCUGGACAAUGCAUGUGUCUGUAAUGGUGAAUCAUUCUCUAUGAUGAAUCUCUGCUUCAUGUGUUUAUAGCUACAGUUAUGGUGCCUCUGUCUGCUAGCCAUUUAACAUCUGUUUGGUUUAAGGGGGUGACUGUUGCAUGGGAUCUUCCAAUCUUCUAAAGUUACUUCACAGUCCUUUUGGUCAUUGUGCUUCAUUUGGUGUGGAGCUGAUUGAUUUGGUGGUAAAAGCUUUCCACUGUUCUGUUUGAGAAUCUUUUCCCCCUAUAGCAAUCCACUUUUGAUUGGUGUUUGAAAGUUCUCAUGGACAAAAGGAUAACUGCUGCAUUUUCCGUCAUGUUUGUGAACCUGCAUCCGUGGUCUGCAGUACUUUCACUGAAAGGUGGUUGGGGAGGAUUUGGCUUGGCGGCUAGGCUGGUUGGAUGCUGAGAUUACAUUUAUAGUUUGUCUUGUUUUAGUGAUUGGAGUGUGUUCUGGCUUAUCCGCAUGUUUCCUGUGUGCUGGUCCUAACCCUGUGGAAUCCGGGAAACUUUAUACAGACGGUCAACAUUAUAUCAGCAAUUCAGCUCGUCCCAGUCGAGCUCACCCCCGACAAGUCUUUAUCGUAUGGCAUGAUACAGAUUGAAGGUUCGAAAUGGAAUGGAAUUCCCGUCAAAUUUAAAGUUGAGUAUUUCGGCCACCUAAUCCGGAUUAUUGUAUCCGUUGCCAAAAAGAAAUAACUUUUGUUAAUAGUUCUUUUGUCUUUAUUUUGAUCCGUCUUUUUUGGUGAUAUCUGAGCUUAACCCAGUUAAGCUUACUAAUUACUAGUAUUUUCCUGGAACAUGAGAUUAAACAUUAAAUAAAGGUCGUUUUAAGUGUAGUUUAUCGAAAAUCUGGUUGCAUGAUAGACGGUUAAAGCUUAUAGAUCACUUUCAUUCUUCGUGUUCUUUUCAUUUAGUAAACAGUAUGAAUACACAGUUAAAGCUGGAA
Molecule: long non-coding RNA, 1608 nt
Filed under: Daphnia magna
Lineage: Eukaryota; Metazoa; Arthropoda; Branchiopoda; Diplostraca; Daphniidae
Description: uncharacterized LOC116923062, transcript variant X10
Source: RNAcentral